GGAGCUGUGGCUCAGAGGAAGAACAUCUGCCUGGCAGACAGAAGGUACCAGGUUUGAUCCCUGACAUCUCCA
RNAcentral lists this transfer RNA (72 nucleotides) under Sphaerodactylus townsendi. RNAcentral's name for it is "tRNA-Ala". It matches the Rfam family "tRNA". Rfam says of the family: Transfer RNA (tRNA) molecules are approximately 80 nucleotides in length. Their secondary structure includes four short double-helical elements and three loops (D, anti-codon, and T loops). Lineage: Eukaryota; Metazoa; Chordata; Lepidosauria; Squamata; Sphaerodactylidae. The record is from RNAcentral.